RNAcentral lists this ribosomal RNA (336 nucleotides) under Clostridioides difficile. RNAcentral describes it as "bacterial SSU rRNA". It matches the Rfam family "Bacterial small subunit ribosomal RNA", at positions 759 to 1093 of the family's 1533-position model. Lineage: Bacteria; Bacillati; Bacillota; Clostridia; Peptostreptococcales; Peptostreptococcaceae. The record is from RNAcentral.
GCGUGAGGGCCAACCAGUAUGGGACACCCUGGGAGUCCACGGGUGAAACGAUUAGGGCUAGGUGUCGGGCGUUACCCCGUGCGGGGCCGCGGCUAACGCCAGAAGUCUGCGGCGUGGGAAGUACGCUCGCAAGGGGGAAUCUCAAAGGAAUUGACGGGGACCCGAACAGGUAGCGGGGCAUGGGGUAUAAUUCGAAGCAACGCGAAGGGCCUGACCAAAGCUUGACUUCCCAAGGACAUCUCCUUAAUCGGAGAGUUCCCUUCGGGGACAUUGGUGACCGGUGGUGCAUGGUGGUCGUCAGCUCGUGUCGUGAGAUGUUGGGUUAAGUCCCGCAAC